This 415-nucleotide ribosomal RNA is filed under the name uncultured bacterium. RNAcentral's name for it is "bacterial SSU rRNA". It matches the Rfam family "Bacterial small subunit ribosomal RNA", at positions 355 to 794 of the family's 1533-position model. The record is from RNAcentral.
UGAGGAAUAUUGCACAAUGGACGAAAGUCUGAUGCAGCAACGCCGCGUGGAGGAUGACGGUCUUUGGAUUGUAAACUCCUUUUCUCAGGGAAGCGGUACCUGAGGAAUAAGUCACGGCUAACUACGUGCCAGCAGCCGCGGUAAUACGUAGGUGGCGAGCGUUAUCCGGAAUUACUGGGCGUAAAGCGCACGCAGGCGGUCUCUUAAGUUUGACGUGAAAGCUCCCGGCUUAACUGGGAGAGGUCGUUGAAUACUGGGGGACUUGAGGCAAUGAGAGGGAUGCAGAAUUCCAGGUGUAGUGGUGGAAUGCGUAGAUAUCUGGAGGAAUACCAGUGGCGAAAGCGGCAUCCUAGCGUUAGCCUGACGCUCAUGUGCGAAAGCGUGGGGAGCAAACGGGAUUAGAUACCCGAGUAGU